This 253-nucleotide ribosomal RNA is filed under the name uncultured bacterium. Its description in RNAcentral is "partial 16S ribosomal RNA". It matches the Rfam family "Bacterial small subunit ribosomal RNA", at positions 524 to 776 of the family's 1533-position model. The record is from RNAcentral.
UACGGGGGGAGCAAGCGUUGUUCGGAUUUACUGGGCGUAAAGCGCACGUAGGCGGACUCUUAAGUCGGUGGUGAAAUCCUGGAGCUCAACUCCAGAACUGCCUUCGAUACUGAGAGUCUCGAGUCCGGGAGAGGUGAGUGGAACUGCGAGUGUAGAGGUGAAAUUCGUAGAUAUUCGCAAGAACACCAGUGGCGAAGGCGGCUCACUGGCCCGGUACUGACGCUGAGGUGCGAAAGCGUGGGGAGCAAACAGG